This 377-nucleotide long non-coding RNA is filed under the name Elaeis guineensis (African oil palm). RNAcentral's name for it is "long non-coding RNA (EGUI_LNC057283)". Lineage: Eukaryota; Viridiplantae; Streptophyta; Magnoliopsida; Arecales; Arecaceae. The record is from RNAcentral.
GGCAGGCCACAAUAAUGGCCACGAACCUACUCCACCUCCUGCGACGGAUACCAGGCGAUUCUCCCACCCGCUGGCAAGUCACGACAACGGACGCUGCUCCACUCCCCGCAACUGAUUCCACAUGGCGAGCUACGGAGAUAGCCACGAUUCAGCUCCACUACCCCUCGCAAUAAAUUCUCCCUGACUACGGGCGGCCCACGACCAGACGGUUACAGACGUCGCCAUCAAUCCGUUACCUCCUCCGCCUAUAAAAGGGGGACCCAGAUACGUUAUUCUCUAAGCUCAUUUCUUAUCUCAAAACUCUGCUAAAUUCUCCGUUCGAGUACUCCAUUCUUGUUGAGGCAGAGAACUGACUUGAGCGUCAGAGGGUCUUGCCG